Molecule: ribosomal RNA, 418 nt
Filed under: uncultured prokaryote
Description: bacterial SSU rRNA
Rfam family: Archaeal small subunit ribosomal RNA
Source: RNAcentral
GUGCCAGCCGCCGCGGUAACACCAGCCCCUCGAGUGGUGGGGACGUUUAUUUGGCCUAAAGCGUCCGUAGCCGGCCGGGUAAGUCUCCCGUUAAAUCCAGCGUCUCAAGCGUUGGGCUGCGGGAGAUACUGUCCGGCUAGAGAGUGGGAGAGGUCAGCGGUAUUCCUGGGGUAGGGGCGAAAUCCUUUGAUCCCAGGAGGACCACCAGUGGCGAAGGCUGCUGACUAGAACACGUCUGACGGUCAGGGACGAAAGCUGGGGUAGCGAACCGGAUUAGAUACCCGGGUAGUCCCAGCCGUAAACGAUGCGGGCUAGGUGUUGGAGUGGCUACGUGCCACUUCAGUGCCGCAGGGAAGCCGUUAAGCAUGCCGCCUGGGGAGUACGGUCGCAAGACUGAAACUUAAAUGAAUUGACGGGG